AGAGUUUGAUCAUGGCUCAGGACGAACGCUGACGGUGUGCCUAAUACAUGCAAGUCGAGCGAAGAGGCCCUUUCGGGGGCACUUCAGCGGCGGACGGCUGAGUAACACGUAGGUAACGUGCCCUUUACUGGGGGAUAACACUGGGAAACUGGUGCUAAUACCGCAUAAGAAACAGGUUGAAAUACUUGUUUUUAAAGCUCCGGCGGUAAGGGAUCGGCCUGCGGCAGAUUAGCUUGUUGGUAGGGUAAAAGCCUACCAAGGCGAUGAUCUGUAGCUGGUCUGAGAGGAUGAUCAGCCAGAGUGGGACUGAGAACGGCCCACACUCCUACGGGAGGCAGCAGUAGGGAAUAUUGCGCAAUGGGCGAAAGCCUGACGCAGCAACACCGUGUGUAGGAAGAAGCUUCUAGGAGUGUAAACUACUGUCAACAGGGAAUAAACAUGACUGUACCUGUGGAGGAAGCACCGGCUAACUACGUGCCAGCAGCCGCGGUAAGACGUAGGGUGCAAGCGUUGUCCGGAUUUAUUGGGCGUAAAGAGUUCGUAGGCGGUUGCCUAAGUCUGAUGUUAAAGACCGGAGCUCAACUCCGGCAUGGCAUUGGAAACUGGGUGACUAGAGUGCGGAAGAGGUAACUGGAAUUCCAGGUGUAGCGGUGAAAUGCGUAGAUAUCUGGAGGAACACCAGUGGCGAAAGCGAGUUGCUGGUCCGUAACUGACGCUGAGGAACGAAAGCCAGGGUAGCAAAAGGGAUUAGAUACCCUAGUAGUCC
Molecule: ribosomal RNA, 766 nt
Filed under: uncultured bacterium
Lineage: Bacteria
Description: bacterial SSU rRNA
Rfam family: Bacterial small subunit ribosomal RNA
Source: RNAcentral